UACGUAGGGUGCAAGCGUUAAUCGGAAUUACUGGGCGUAAAGCGUGCGCAGGUGGUUACGCAAGUCUGCUGUGAAAUCCCCGGGCUCAACCUGGGAACUGCAUUGGAGACUGCGUGGCUAGAGUGUGGCAGAGGGGGGUGGAAUUCCGCGUGUAGCAGUGAAAUGCGUAGAGAUGCGGAGGAACACCAAUGGCGAAGGCAGCCCCCUGGGUUAACACUGACACUCAUGCACGAAAGCGUGGGGAGCAAACAGG
RNAcentral lists this ribosomal RNA (253 nucleotides) under uncultured bacterium. Its description in RNAcentral is "partial 16S ribosomal RNA". It matches the Rfam family "Bacterial small subunit ribosomal RNA", at positions 524 to 776 of the family's 1533-position model. The record is from RNAcentral.